AGGAGAGAACGCUGGGUUGAAGUGGCUUAUUGGAGUCCUAGGUGGAAACUGUGGCAGAGCCUGGAGCCCUUCUUCCUUGUUCGGGCAAGGCUGUCCCAGUGCUCGGGCUGCUUUUGUGGAGGGCUGGUCCGCUCUGCCUGGCAGGAAGAGGGAAGGAACACACAAGGUGAUCACAGAUUGUGACCAACGCUGUGAAGAAAAGAAACAGCUUGAUGCUGUAACAACUGGGGAAGGACUCUCUGGGGAGAAGAUGAGAGUGGACCAGCCCAAGGAAAAGUAUUCCAGGCAGAAGGAACAGCAGGUGCAAAGGCCCAGAGGAGGAACGUUGAUGAGGAACAAAAACACAGCUAGACGUCAGUGAAGGUUGGAGAGUUAGAGUAAGUUGGAUCCUGCCAGGCCUAUUUGGCCACAGCAGAUUUAAGAAAGAGGAAGCUCUUGAAGGAUUUUAAACACGGGGAGAGGUAAUUUGCCAUUGCGUUGUCUGAAGUUCCUUGCAGGACAAAGACCCUUCCUUGGCGGGGUGGGUACUUAAACCCAGUCAAGACCAACCCAUCCUCCAAAUUAGUCUUGUGCUCUACCAGGCUUUUAGAAUAGGUCCAAUCUUCAUCAGAAAGCAUAGGGUUUGCUUUGUGCCAACCUGGCCCUCCAGUUCUGUAGGGAGCAGGUGUUGAACCACGGGCAGCAGACAUCACUGUAGCCUUGGAUGUAGUUUAUUACAGUGCGGGAGCACUGUCCUGUGAUGUGGUGGGGGACUCAGCAUUACUGAACUUAGCAAGGCCGCUGGCCAGGGGCAGAACCUAUCAUUUGAAAUACGUAUAAUUAUUUUGCUUAUUUAUGCCUUCUGUCUUUAGACUGUGAGUGCUGAGAAGCCAAAGACCACCUGGACUUUUAUCCCUGUGUUUCCAGUGCUUGCCUGCAGCAGGUACUCCACAGACACUUGUGAAAGCGUGGAGGAUUGGAGGAAAAGGGCAGCGGUAAUUUAGCUCUGCUUUUGUAGGAAACAGAAAGGGGAAGAGGACUUGUAAGCAGUAAAAUAUAAACAUCAAAACAACCUACAUUUGCUUCUGCAGAAAUGCUUGUUUUGAAGGUAGGAAUUUGUUCUAACGCAGUUUAAAGGAGCGUACCUACAUUCCCCAGUGAAAAACACAAAGCAAAAUUCCGAACCAGGGGUUCCCGUUGUGGUGCAGUGGUUAACGAAUCCCACUAGGAACCAUGAGGUUGUGGGUUCAACUCCUGGCCUUGCUCAGUGGGUUGGGGAUCCGGCGUUGCCGUGAGCUGUGGUGUGGGUCUCAGACGCGGCUGGGAUCCCGCGUUGCUGUGGCUGUGGUGUGGGUGGCAGACACGGCUGGGAUCCUGCAUUG
RNAcentral lists this long non-coding RNA (1361 nucleotides) under Sus scrofa (pig). RNAcentral describes it as "lncRNA (ENSSSCG00030071841.1)". The record is from RNAcentral. Lineage: Eukaryota; Metazoa; Chordata; Mammalia; Artiodactyla; Suidae.